UAUAGACAGAGCACACACAGACCCAGCAUCUCUCCCGUGCUUUGUCGAUGUGGGAUUCGCCUAAGGGUAUCACAAGACUGUUGCAGGUUACAUCUUUCUUGUGGUUGCUGCUGCUAUCAUGACCGAUUGGGCCCUUGCAAAGCAUCGUCGCUUGAAGAAGCUAUUUGACGGGAUGGAUGGAAGGCCAAAAUAUCCACGCCGAUGGGUGAUAUUGCCUCCGUUUCUAUAGAAGUAAACAAUCAUGUCUAUUGUUGGUUAACUCUUGGAUUCAAUAACUAGAAUGCUAGUGAGAUAUGAAUUAGAGAUCGGGAGUUCACAUAGUUUUGUAAUUGGAUCCAGUCCUCCAUACCGACAUUGUACUUCAUUUCAAUUUCGUAAUUUGUUGUCUAUAUGUAAUAACUCUGGAAUUGUUUUGAGCCUUGUUGGUUCAGUAUUUUGUGCAUGGUUUUCUUGAUUCUUGAUUCUUCUUUCUUAUACCUGAAUGGAACAUCAUGGUUUGCAUCUC
Long non-coding RNA from Mangifera indica (mango), 505 nucleotides. RefSeq lists it as uncharacterized. NCBI's taxonomy places the organism in Eukaryota, Viridiplantae, Streptophyta, Magnoliopsida, Sapindales, Anacardiaceae. The record is from RefSeq and is a predicted model, not a curated record. The transcript has 2 exons.